Molecule: non-coding RNA, 108 nt
Filed under: Salix viminalis (osier)
Lineage: Eukaryota; Viridiplantae; Streptophyta; Magnoliopsida; Malpighiales; Salicaceae
Source: RNAcentral
GUGAGCCUAGUGAUAGGAGACUAUCUAGCUUGGUUCGGAGAGCACUUGUUGGGUUAAAGAUUUUUUUGUUGCUAAAUGUUACAGCCUUGGAGGCUGCUGGACUCUAAA